GCGCGAGUGGCGGAACUGGCAGACGCGCGGGCCUUAGGAGCCCGUGCCCGCAAGGGCGUGAGGGUUCGACCCCCUCCUCGCGCACCA
RNAcentral lists this transfer RNA (87 nucleotides) under Candidatus Sumerlaeia bacterium. RNAcentral describes it as "tRNA-Leu". It matches the Rfam family "tRNA". From Rfam's summary of the family: Transfer RNA (tRNA) molecules are approximately 80 nucleotides in length. Their secondary structure includes four short double-helical elements and three loops (D, anti-codon, and T loops). The record is from RNAcentral. Lineage: Bacteria; Candidatus Sumerlaeota; Candidatus Sumerlaeia.